This 2725-nucleotide ribosomal RNA is filed under the name Phycisphaerales bacterium UBA6054. Its description in RNAcentral is "bacterial LSU rRNA". It matches the Rfam family "Bacterial large subunit ribosomal RNA". Lineage: Bacteria; Pseudomonadati; Planctomycetota; Phycisphaerae; Phycisphaerales. The record is from RNAcentral.
UCAAACCAGAAAGAGCGUAUGGCGGAUGACUUGGCGUCGAGAGGCGAUGAAAGACGUUGGAACCUGCGAAAAGCUGUAGGGAGCCGGUAACCAGGCUGUGAUCUACAGAUCUCUGAAUGGGGAAACCCACCCGCAAGGGUAUCGCACGCUGAAUGCAUAGGCGUGCGAGGCGAACCCGGGGAACUGAAACAUCUAAGUACCCGGAGGAAAGGAAAUCAAUUGAGACUCCGUCAGUAGCGGCGAGCGAAAGCGGAUGGUUGUGAGACCGGCGAACACGUUGGAAUGCGUGAUCGAAGAGGGUGAAAAUCCCGUAGUCGGAGUUAGCAACUCAGCCCUCGAGUAGGUUCGGGCUCGUGGAACCCGGAUUGAACAUAGGAGGUCCACCUUCUAAGGCUAAGUACUCCUCGACGACCGAUAGCGCAAAAGUAAAGUGAUUGAAAGUUGAAAAGUACCCCUAUGAGGGGUGUGAAAGAGAUCUGAAACCAUACGCUUACAAGCGGUCGGAGCCCUCCGGGGUGACGGCGUGCUUUUUGCAUAAUGAGCCCGCGAGUUAGUCUCUGUGGCGAGCCUAAGGCCUACCAGGCCGGAGGCGGAGCGAAAGCGAGUCUGAAUAGGGCGUUCAGUCGCAGGGGCUAGACACGAAACCCGUGUGAUCUACCCAUGGCCAGAGUGAAGGAAGGGUAACACCUUCUGGAGGCUCGAACCCGUUAACGUUGAAAAGUUAUGGGAUGAGCUGUGGGGAGGGGUUAAAGUCCAAUCAAACCGGGAGAUAGCUUGUUCUCUCCGAAAUAACUUUAGGGUUAGCCUCGGCAUGCAACUAUCGGGGGUAGAGCUACUGGAUGCGUGGCGGGCCCUUCCUGGGUACCCCAUGCAACCAAACUCCGAAUACCGAUAGCCAAGGGCCGGGAGAUAGACCGCGAGUGAUAAUAUCCGCGGUCAAAAGGAGAAUAAUCCAGAUCGCCAGCUAAGGUCCCUAAAUUAGACUUAGUUCAUAAGGAAGUCAGAUUGCCGUGACAGCCAGGAUGUUGGCUUAGAAGCAGCCACCAUUUAAAGAGUGCGUAAUAGCUCACUGGUCGAGGAAUCUGGCGCCGAUAAUGAUCGGGAAUAAGUCUAAUACCGAAGCUGCGGGCUGCGUAAGCAGCGGUAGGAGAGCGUUCCACGGGCGGUGAAGCCAUUCUGGAAGGGAUGGUGGAGCGCGUGGAAGUGAAUAUGCGGGCUUGAGUAACGAUAAUGAGGGUGAGAAUCCCUCACGCCGUAAGCACAAGGUUUCCUGGGGAAGGUAAAUCCGCCCAGGGUUAGCCGGGACCUAAGGCGAGGCCGAAGGGCGUAGUCGAUGGACAUCAGGUUAAUAUUCCUGAGCUCGCUGGGUAACGGAUCGUGAAUGUCUCCAGCCUUAUUAGAUUGGCAGGCCUUCGGGCCGUUGGAGGUUGAAGCGGUUCCCAGAAAAAACCAGCAUAGACCCGUACCAAAACUGACACAGGUGUGCGAGGCGAAUAGCCUCAGGCGCUCGAGAGAACGGUCGUGAAGGAACUAGGCAAAUUGACCCCGUACGUUCGCAAUAAGGGGGCCCUUCGGGGCGCAGAGAAAAGGCUCUGGCAACUGUUUAUCAAAAACACAGCACUGUGCUAACUCGCAAGAGGAUGUAUACAGUGUGACGCUUGCCCAAUGCCGGAAUGUCACGGAAGCAGGUUAGGUUUAUCCGAAGCUUGUGACCUAAGCACCGGUCAAUGGCGGCCGUAACUAUGACGGUCCUAAGGUAGCGAAGUUCCUUGUCGGGUAAGUUCCGACGCGCAUGAAUAGCGUAAUGACUGGAGCACUGUCUCCACGACCGACUCGGUGAAAUAGUAGUGGCGGUGAAGAUGCCGCCUACCCGCAGCAAGACGGAAAGACCCUAUGAACCUUUACUGCAGGCUCGUAUUGGUCACGAGCACAGGAUGUGCAGGAUAGGUGGGAGGCUUUGAAGCCGGCGUUCAGGCGUUGGUGGAGCCGUUGUUGAGAUACCACCCUUCUUGAGUUUGUGGCCUAACCCUGAUUCCCGUGAACCCGGGCAGGGGACAGUGCGUGUUGGGCAGUUUGACUGGGGCGGUCUCCUCCGAAAGAGUAACGGAGGAGCGCAAAGGUUGGCUCAGCACGGAUGGAAACCGUGUUUUAGAGUGUAAGAGCACAAGCCAGCUUUACUGCGAGUCCGACAGGACGAGCAGUCGGGAAACCGGGCUCUAGUGAUCCUGCGAUCGCGUGUGGAAGCGUCGUAGCUCAUCGGAUAAAAGGUACUCUAGGGAUAACAGGCUUAUCGCUCCCGAGCGUCCAUAGCGGCGGAGCGGUUUGGCACCUCGAUGUCGGCUCAUCGCAUCCUGGGGCUGAAGGCGGUCCCAAGGGUUGGGCUGUUCGCCCAUUAAAGCGGUACGCGAGCUGGGUUCAGACCGGCGUGAGCCAGGUCGGUCCCUAUCUGUUGUGGGCGUUGCAAACUUGAAAGGAGUCAACCCUAGUACGAGAGGAUUGGGUUGGACCAACCCCUGGUGAUCCUGUUGGACCGCUCGGUCCACCGCAGGGUAGCUACGUUGGGCAGGGAUAACCGCUGAAAGCAUCUAAGCGGGAAGCCCCCCUUGAGAUAAGGUUUGCUUGCUUUUGCGAGAGACCCCCGGAAGACGACCGGGUUGAUAGGCCGCGAGUGUAAGGGUUGAGAAGCCCUCAGCUGAGCGGUACUAACGGUCAAAGGUUUGAUCAU